AGCGAACGUUUGCGGCGGGCCUAACACAUGCAAGUCGAACGCACUAGCAAUAGUGAGUGGCGCACGGGUGCGUAACACGUGGGUAAUCAACCCUUCAGCUUGGGAUAACGACUUGAAAGGGUCGCUAAUACCGGAUACGGCGCGGGAGGCUUCGGCUUCUCACGAGAAAGCCUCGCAAGGGGCACUGAAGGACGAGCCUGCGGCCCAUCAGCUAGUUGGUGAGGUAAGAGCUCACCAAGGCGAAGACGGGUAGCUGGUCUGAGAGGAUGAUCAGCCACACUGGAACUGAGACACGGUCCAGACUCCUACGGGAGGCAGCAGUGGGGAAUAUUGCGCAAUGGGCGAAAGCCUGACGCAGCCACGCCGCGUGAGCGAUGAAGGCCUUCGGGUCGGUAAA
This 397-nucleotide ribosomal RNA is filed under the name uncultured bacterium. RNAcentral describes it as "bacterial SSU rRNA". It matches the Rfam family "Bacterial small subunit ribosomal RNA", at positions 29 to 429 of the family's 1533-position model. The record is from RNAcentral.